Schizosaccharomyces pombe (fission yeast) is the source of this 1103-nucleotide non-coding RNA. The record is from the annotation of a GenBank genome assembly. NCBI's taxonomy places the organism in Eukaryota, Fungi, Ascomycota, Schizosaccharomycetes, Schizosaccharomycetales, Schizosaccharomycetaceae.
AACGUCUGGAAAGUUUAAAGAAGCAACCUUCAUUAACGCUGGAAACAUCUUACUCUUAGUAGAAGCCUCUGCUAAAAUCCCCAUUUGCUUUAAAAGAGGAUCUUGUUGCAAAUUUCCGAGGUCCAAGAAUUUAGUAGCAGGUUGAUAACGGGUUUGCAAAAACUGGCGUAACUUUUCAAUGGUCUCAUUUGUGGAUUGUGGUAACGUUUUUGAAACAUUUCUCUGGGCUUGUGUUGCUAAUGCAGAUAAUGAAGGAGCUGAAACAGAACGAAAUGAUCGUUUUGUCUUUGCUUUUCUAUAAUCUUGAGUAACGUUAGAAGCUCCAUCGACCCUUCGUAUAGCCAAAUGAUCACCAGCAAAAGCCGCACCAUUUAACCCGUUCAAACGACUAAAGUCUUGGCUUUUAACUACGGCAGUGACCGAAGCCGGAGAAUAUGAAAUGUUCAUUAGACGAACCUUGACUUUUCUCCAAACAAAGCUUAUUAAGUCGUCCUCAGAACCCUUGGAAUGACCAGUAAUAACUACGGAUAUCGGGGGUUCACGCGUGGCACGAGGUUUGCCUGGUGUACGGCGUUUCUCCAAUGGUGUAUCAAUUACCAUUUCAUUCUCUUUAACAGCAUUACGACGCUCCCGCUUUCUACGCAACAUUUUGCAAUUAUGUUGAGUAGUAAGUGUGAAGAGAAAGAGAGUAAGUGGAAUUUAAUUCAACAUUUUUAACUUCAAUAGUAAUAGGACAAGUAUAAGGAGUAGAGAUGUGUACGCGCAAAACUGCGUUAAACAGUUAGACUAUUUGUGAUAUAACGAGAAACUGUUAAAUGCGUUAUUCGUCUUUUGCUAUGCUUGUAUCGAUGGAAUUUGUGGAAAUACAUUUUUUGUUUUAGUUUAUUUUAUUGAAAUUCAAAAAAAUUUAUAUGAGGCUAAUAUAAAAUCGUUUACUGUUUUUUUGUAAAAUCACUAUUGAUAUAACUCAAUCGACCACCUAAAAUUCGACCUCCAUUAACAUGAAAAUUCAGGAGUAAAUUUUGAAGUAAAGAACAGUUUAGUCAGUAAGACUUCCGAACACUAAUUCCUUAAGCAAUAUAUCAAUAUAUGUGUCCCGCUAA